GGAUUUUUAAAGGCUCAUAUUUAAACAUCUAUCUCCUGGGCUACCAAAUACAACUUACAUCUUUAGGGGACUUUUUAAUUUACAAAAUGACUUUCAGACUUUGUCUCUUCUCUACCCUCCAUCCUCACCUCCAUCUCCACCUUUACUGGUUAUUGAACCCAAGGCUUUGCAUAUGCUAGGCAAGCACUCUAUCACUGAGCUACAUACCCAGCCCAAACUCAUCGUAUUUAAACCACAUGAUAUGCUUAUUAGGCUGAUCUGGUAUUUUUAUCCCCAUUUUGAAAAGAAACUGCUUAGGGAAAUAGUGGUUCAGAGAAAUGAAACUCCCUGUCCCAGGACUGAAACUCACACCUAAGUGCAUACUCAGUCUUCCCCUCACCCCACCCUGUACCCUGCGGUCCCUGCAGAGGGAGGUCAUGGCCCAACACGCAGGGCACUGCACUGUAGUUCUGUUGAUGCAGCUGGCUCUGCAGCUGUACAUUCCAGAGACUCAGAAGGCACCUCUCAGUCAAACAUGCCUCUCCCUCUGUAAACCCUUACUCCUUCCACCCACUCACUCACCAGGUAAGGGUACCGCUUUGUGGUGUUGUUUCAAUAGGCUUCUUUUAGCAGCUCAUAUUUUUCUUAAGUAAUUGGUGGGGUUCAUAUCAGUGACUUACUCUGCGCUUAAGGUGCCCUUGCCAGAGGGAACAUUUGGGGGCAGGUGAUGAGAUAUUACUGUUCUGCUUGGAACAAGAUAGAGGCCAGGAACCCACUGCUACCACACAGACCUAGAGCUCCUGAGAACACCGUGUAAGAACUAUCACUUGUAACCACUUUGUAGAUGAGUAAAUUGAGAUGCUAAGAGUUCAUACAGUUCAUGUCUAGGUCAAGGCUAGCUAGACCCGAUCCUAAGUCUCCUAGUCUGCUGCAUUUCAUCUGGUUGGUAAGAUACAGAUGGCGAGUACAUAUAGACAUUGCUCACCCAUGCCUUCCCGGUAUGUUGAGGAUUUAUGGUUUAUGUCUUCAGGAAUGGUGUCAAGUCAGAUCCAGCCUGAGAGGCAGUCAUCACCCAUCAGAAAGGUGGUAGAGUGACGGAGAAGACUGGUGCUCCCCUGAUAGCUGUUUGGGUAUAAGGAAGCUUUAGAGAGGACAGUUUUGAGAAAAGCUGAAGAAGAAGGUAUUUCUUUGUGUGUCUCCCUCCCUAGGCCAGUGGACUCUCAUACACUUGGGAGUUACUUUCAUAGGUUAGUAGCUCUAAUUGUGAAAGGAAGACUUUUUUUGUUUUCAAAUUAAUUGUAUGAAAUUCCCUCCCACACCUUGAUUUUAGUGAGGAAAACAGGAGAUGCCUGGGUCGCCAAGACCAAGGGUCUCAGGCACACAAUCCACUGACACAUCAUCUCUUCGCUACUGCUUUUGCC
Molecule: long non-coding RNA, 1400 nt
Filed under: Marmota monax (woodchuck)
Lineage: Eukaryota; Metazoa; Chordata; Mammalia; Rodentia; Sciuridae
Source: RNAcentral